CACGUAGUUAGUCGUCCCUUUCUGGUAAGAUACCGUCACAGUGUGAACUUUCCACUCUCACACUCGUUCUUCUCUUACAACAGAGCUUUACGAUCCGAAAACCUUCUUCACUCACGCGGCGUUGCUCGGUCAGACUUCCGUCCAUUGCCGAAGAUUCCCUACUGCUGCCUCCCGUAGGAGUCUGGGCCGUGGUCUCAGUCCCAGUGUGGCCGAUCACCCUCUCAGGUCGGCUAUGUAUCGUCGCCUUGGUGAGCCGUUACCUCACCAACUAGCUAAUACAACGCAGGUCCAUCUGGUAGUGAUGCAAUUGCACCUUUUAAGCAAAUGUCAUGCAACAUCUACUAUUAUGCGGUAUUAGCUAUCGUUUCCAAUAGUUAUCCCCCGCUACCAGGCAGGUUACCUACGCGUUACUCACCCGUUCGCAACUCAUCCGCUCGGUGCAAGCACCAAGCUUCAGCGUUCUACUUGCAUGUAUUAGGCACGCCGCC
RNAcentral lists this ribosomal RNA (488 nucleotides) under uncultured Streptococcus sp. RNAcentral's name for it is "partial 16S ribosomal RNA". Lineage: Bacteria; Bacillati; Bacillota; Bacilli; Lactobacillales; Streptococcaceae. The record is from RNAcentral.